This 444-nucleotide ribosomal RNA is filed under the name uncultured soil bacterium. Its description in RNAcentral is "bacterial SSU rRNA". It matches the Rfam family "Bacterial small subunit ribosomal RNA", at positions 26 to 518 of the family's 1533-position model. The record is from RNAcentral.
AGAGCGAACGCUGGCGGCAGUCCUAACACAUGCAAGUCGAGCGCCCCGCAAGGGGAGCGGCAGACGGGAGAGUAACGCGUGGGAACGUACCCUUCGGUUCGGAAUAGCCCGGGGAAACUCGGAGUAAUACCGGAUACGUCCGUAAGGAGAAAGAUUCAUCGCCGAGGGAUCGGCCCGCGUCUGAUUAGCUAGUUGGUGGGGUAAUGGCCCACAAGGCGACGAUCAGUAGCUGGUCUGAGAGGAUGAUCAGCCUCACUGGGACUGAGACACGGCCCAGACUCCUACGGGAGGCAGCAGUGGGGAAUAUUGGACAAUGGGCGAAAGCCUGAUCCAGCCAUGCCGCGUGGGUGAUGAAGGCCCUAGGGUGUAAAGCCCUUUCGGCGGGAAGAGUAAGUGACGGUACCCGCGAGAAGAACGCCCGGCAACUUCGUGACCAGCAGCCGC